UGUUGAAAUUUUUAUUUAUUUCUACUAUUAAAAACUGGCAUGGGUGACGAAAAAUGUACCUUAGGUUGAUGUAUAGGUACCAGUGUUUAACAAUAAAAAUGAAUGAAUUUUUUAAUA
This is a non-coding RNA of Gossypium raimondii (Peruvian cotton), 117 nucleotides long. Lineage: Eukaryota; Viridiplantae; Streptophyta; Magnoliopsida; Malvales; Malvaceae. The record is from Rfam.